CCAAGGAGUCUAACAUGUUCGCAAGUCAUUGGGUUGUAAAACCCAAAGGCAUAAUGAAAGUGAAGAUCAGUUCUGCUGGUCGAGGUGGGAUCUCUCUUCAAGGGAGCGCACCACCGUCCCAUCGCAUUUGCUCGUCAAAGCGGUGGAGAAAGAGCGUACAUGUUGGGACCCGAAAGAUGGUGAACUAUGCCUGAGCAGGAUGAAGCCAGAGGAAACUCUGGUGGAGGUCCGUAGCGGUUCUGACGUGCAAAUCGAUCGUCAGACUUGGGUAUAGGGGCGAAAGACUAAUCGAACCAUCUAGUAGCUGGUUCCCUCCGAAGUUUCCCUCAGGAUAGCUGGAACUUUUACGCAGUUUUACCCGGUAAAGCGAAUGAUUAGAGGCCUUGGGGACGAAACGACCUCAACCUAUUCUCAAACUUUAAAUGGGUAAGAAGUCUCGCUUGCCUGACCGAAGCUCAGACAUUGAAUGCGAGUGCCAAGUGGGCCAUUUUU
This 492-nucleotide ribosomal RNA is filed under the name Nematoda environmental sample. RNAcentral describes it as "partial large subunit ribosomal RNA". It matches the Rfam family "Eukaryotic large subunit ribosomal RNA", at positions 666 to 1138 of the family's 3401-position model. The record is from RNAcentral. Lineage: Eukaryota; Metazoa; Nematoda.